Molecule: ribosomal RNA, 207 nt
Filed under: uncultured bacterium
Lineage: Bacteria
Description: partial 16S ribosomal RNA
Rfam family: Bacterial small subunit ribosomal RNA
Source: RNAcentral
GGAUUGCAGGCUGCAACUCGCCUGCAUGAAGCUGGAAUUGCUAGUAAUCGCGGAUCAGCAUGCCGCGGUGAAUACGUUCCCGGGCCUUGUACACACCGCCCGUCACACCAUGAGAGUCGGGAACACCCGAAGUCCGUAGUCUAACCGCAAGGAGGGCGCGGCCGAAGGUGGGUCCGGUAAUUGGGGUGGAAGUCGUAACAAGGUAUC